Molecule: ribosomal RNA, 449 nt
Filed under: uncultured bacterium
Lineage: Bacteria
Description: partial 16S ribosomal RNA
Rfam family: Bacterial small subunit ribosomal RNA
Source: RNAcentral
GUGGGGAAUAUUGGACAAUGGGCGCAAGCCUGAUCCAGCAAUGCCGCGUGGGUGAAGAAGGCCUUCGGGUUGUAAAGCCCUUUUGUACGGAUGAAAUCCUGGUGGUUAAUACCCGCCGGGGAUGACGGUACCGUAAGAAUAAGCACCGGCUAACUUCGUGCCAGCAGCCGCGGUAAUACGAAGGGUGCAAGCGUUAAUCGGAAUUACUGGGCGUAAAGCGUGCGUAGGUGGUUUCUUAAGUCUGUCGUGAAAGCCCUGGGCUCAACCUGGGAAUGGCGAUGGAUACUGGGAGGCUAGAGUGCGGUAGAGGAUGGCGGAAUUCCCGGUGUAGCGGUGAAAUGCGUAGAGAUCGGGAGGAACAUCUGUGGCGAAGGCGGCCAUCUGGACCAGCACUGACACUGAGGCACGAAAGCGUGGGGAGCAAACAGGAUUAGAAACCCCAGUAGUCC